UACGUAGGGGGCAAGCGUUGUUCGGAAUUACUGGGCGUAAAGGGCGCGUAGGCGGCAUGGCAAGUCGGGAGUGAAAGGCCUGGGCUCAACCGAGGAACUGCUUUCGAGACUGCCAAGCUAGAGUGCGGAAGGGGCAUCUGGAAUUCCCAGUGUAGCGGUGAAAUGCGUAGAUAUUGGAAGGAACAUCAGUGGCGAAAGCGACUUCCUGGACCAAUACUGACGCUCAUGUGCGAAAGCGUGGGGAGCAAACAGG
Molecule: ribosomal RNA, 253 nt
Filed under: uncultured bacterium
Lineage: Bacteria
Description: partial 16S ribosomal RNA
Rfam family: Bacterial small subunit ribosomal RNA
Source: RNAcentral